GCAGUAGCCGCGGUAAUACAGAGGGUGCGAGCGUUAAUCGGAUUUACUGGGCGUAAAGCGUGCGUAGGCGGCUUUUUAAGUCGGAUGUGAAAUCCCUGAGCUUAACUUAGGAAUUGCAUUCGAUACUGGGAAGCUAGAGUAUGGGAGAGGAUGGUAGAAUUCCAGGUGUAGCGGUGAAAUGCGUAGAGAUCUGGAGGAAUACCGAUGGCGAAGGCAGCCAUCUGGCCUAAUACUGACGCUGAGGUACGAAAGCAUGGGGAGCAAACAGGAUUAGAUACCCCUGUAGUCCCUGUCUCUUAUAA
This 302-nucleotide ribosomal RNA is filed under the name uncultured bacterium. Its description in RNAcentral is "partial 16S ribosomal RNA". It matches the Rfam family "Bacterial small subunit ribosomal RNA", at positions 508 to 809 of the family's 1533-position model. The record is from RNAcentral.